GACGAACGCUGGCGGCGUGCCUAAUACAUGCAAGUAGAACGCUUAAGGAGGAGCUUGCUUCUCUGGCUGAGUUGCGAACGUGUGAGUAACGCUUAGGUAACCUGCCUGGUAGCGGGGGAUAACUAUUAGAAACUAUAGCUAAUACCGCAUAAGAGUAGAUGUUGCAUGACAUUUGCUUAAAAGGUGCAAUUGCAUCACUACCAGAUGGACCUGCGUUGUAUUAGCUAGUUGGUGGGGUAACGGCUCACCAAGGCGACGAUACAUAGCCGACCUGAGAGGAUGAUCGGACACACUGGGACUGAGACACGGCCCAGACUCCUACGGGAGGCAGCAGUAGGGAAUAUUCGGCAAUGGACGGAAGUAUGACCGAGCAACGCCGCGUGAGUGAAGAAGGUUUUCGGAUAGUAAAGCUCUGUUGUAAGAGAAGAAGGAGUGUGAGAGUGGAAAGUGCAGACUGGGACGGAAUCGUACAAGAAGGACAGGCUGAAUUAGGA
RNAcentral lists this ribosomal RNA (494 nucleotides) under uncultured bacterium. Its description in RNAcentral is "partial 16S ribosomal RNA". It matches the Rfam family "Bacterial small subunit ribosomal RNA", at positions 28 to 507 of the family's 1533-position model. The record is from RNAcentral.